This is a long non-coding RNA of Gracilinanus agilis (Agile Gracile Mouse Opossum), 178 nucleotides long. RefSeq lists it as uncharacterized. The record is from RefSeq and is a predicted model, not a curated record. The transcript has 3 exons. Lineage: Eukaryota; Metazoa; Chordata; Mammalia; Didelphimorphia; Didelphidae.
AGCGGGGGCCGCGGUGCUGCCCGUGAAGAAGCCGAAAAUGGAGCAGGUCCAGGCUGACCACGAGCUCUUCCUCCAGGCCUUUGAGAAACCAACACAGAUCUAUAGAUUUCUUCGUACUCGAAAUCUCAUAGCGCCAAUAUUUUUGCACAGAACUCUUACUUACAUGUCUCACCGAAAC